AAUAAACACAACCAUAAAUUUCUGUGCCCAAUUUUAAUUGUCCGUUUUAUUUAAAUUUUUAUGAGUAUUAUUAUUAUUAUUAUUAUUAUUAUUAUUAUAAAAUAUAAAUAGUACUUUAUGCGUGACUUAUUUUUCUUAGUUUUUUCAAAAAAAAAUUAAAUAAGACGAACGAUUAAAGUUUUUUUUAGAUAAUGACGAUUAAAGUUGGACACGAAAACUUACGGCUGCACUUAUU
Molecule: microRNA precursor, 235 nt
Filed under: Oryza rufipogon (brownbeard rice)
Lineage: Eukaryota; Viridiplantae; Streptophyta; Magnoliopsida; Poales; Poaceae
Description: MIR812 microRNA precursor family
Rfam family: MIR812 microRNA precursor family
Source: Rfam by way of RNAcentral